RNAcentral lists this ribosomal RNA (497 nucleotides) under uncultured bacterium. RNAcentral describes it as "partial 16S ribosomal RNA". It matches the Rfam family "Bacterial small subunit ribosomal RNA", at positions 28 to 507 of the family's 1533-position model. The record is from RNAcentral.
GACGAACGCUGGCGGCGUGCCUAAUACAUGCAAGUUGAGCGCUGAAGGUUGGUACUUGUACCGACCGGAUGAGGAGCGAACGGGUGAGUAACGCGUGGGGACUCUGCCUUUGAGCGGGGGACAACAUUUGGAAACGAAUGCUAAUACCGCAUAAAAACUUUAAACACAAGUUUUAAGUUUGAAAGAUGCAAUUGCAUCACUCAAAGAUGAUUCCGCGUUGUAUUAGCUAGUUGGUGAGGUAAAGGCUCACCAAGGCGAUGAUACAUAGCCGACCUGAGAGGGUGAUCGGCCACACUGGGACGGAGACACGGCCCAAACUCCUACGGGAAGCAGCCGUAGUGAAUCGGCGGCAAGGGGCGAAAGUCUGUGCGAGCAAGGCCGAGGGAGGGAAGAGGGUUGUCGGAUCGGAAAACUCUGUUGGUAGGGAAGAACGUUGGUGAGAGUGGAAGGCUCAGCGAGUGACGGUAACUACUCAGAAAGGAACGGCUAACUACGUG